RNAcentral lists this ribosomal RNA (119 nucleotides) under candidate division CPR2 bacterium GW2011_GWC1_39_9. Lineage: Bacteria; candidate division CPR2. The record is from RNAcentral. RNAcentral also lists the same sequence under 1 other name.
GUUCUGGUGAUUAUAGCGUAGAGGUUAUACCUGAUCCCAUCCCGAACUCAGAAGUCAAGCUCUACAACGCCGAUGGUACUUGGGGUUCGCCCCUGGGAGAGUAGGAAGUCGCCAGAACC